Triticum aestivum (bread wheat) is the source of this 2017-nucleotide RNA transcript. It is a transcript of the gene named GTPase HflX, with no coding region annotated. The record is from RefSeq and is a predicted model, not a curated record. The transcript is spliced from 14 exons. NCBI's taxonomy places the organism in Eukaryota, Viridiplantae, Streptophyta, Magnoliopsida, Poales, Poaceae.
CCCAAUCCACUGGGCCGUUAGAACGAGCUAGAGAGAAGCGUCCUCUCGUCACGCCAUGAGAGCCGCUUGCUUCUGCUUGUCCUUCACCGCUGCCUCUCCCCCCCUCCCUUCCACCUCCACCGCUGCCUCGAGCCCACGCUGUCAGAGUCACGCCUCCUACCGCUGGUCCCAGCCACGCCAUAGCCGCGGCGGGGUGGUCCGGGCCCUCCACGAGCGGCUGCUAGAGACACCAACCCCCGCACCAGCGGAGACCGAGGUCGAGGAUGAGAGUGGUGUCGGUGAGAUAGAAGACGGCGGUGAACGGGAGGGAAGAGAUGGGCAGGCUGAUAUUGUGGGCCCGUCGGAGGCCCAGGAGCAGCCGAAGAGCAGGCGACGACAGCAGCAGGAGGAAGAGGAUGCCACGGCGGAGCGCGCCCGGUUCAAGCUCAUCAACGGCAAAGAGAUAUUUCAAGAGAAGACCUACCUAGUUGGAGUCGAGUGCAAGAGGGCCGCAAGAGAUAACUUCAGCAUAGAGGAAUCGCUCAAGGAGCUUGAGCAGUUAGCUGAUACUGCUGGGCUCAUGGUUCUCGGAUCGACCUAUCAAAAGCUUUCAAGUCCAAAUCCAAGGACUUAUAUUGGUUCAGGGAAGGUUGCUGAAAUUAGGAGUGCAGUUCAGGCCCUUGAUAUUGAGACUAUAAUUUUCGAUGAUGAGUUGUCUGCUGGACAGCUGCGUAACUUGGAGAAGUCCUUUGGUGGAGGUGUUCGAGUCUGUGACCGGACUGCUCUUAUUCUGGACAUUUUUAAUCAAAGGGCAGUGACACAUGAAGCUGCUCUGCAGGUCACCCUGGCACAAAUGGAAUAUCAACUUCCUAGGUUGACAAAACUGUGGACUCACCUUGAGCGGCAGUCGGGAGGCCAAGUCAAGGGUAUGGGUGAGAAACAAAUUGAAGUUGACAAGCGCAUCUUGAGAACACAAAUAAGCACUUUGAGGAAGGAAUUGGAGUCUGUCCGAAAACAUCGAAAGCUUUAUCGCAACCGUCGACGGUCGGUGCCUAUUCCUGUUGUUUCUCUGGUGGGAUAUACAAAUGCUGGAAAAAGUACACUCUUGAACCGCUUAACUGGAGCUGAUGUGCUCGCUGAGGAUAAAUUAUUUGCCACACUAGACCCAACAACACGGAGGGUGUUGAUGAAGAGCGGCACUGAGUUCCUCCUAACAGAUACUGUCGGGUUCAUUCAGAAGCUACCCACUAUGCUGGUGGCAGCAUUUAGAGCAACACUGGAGGAGAUAUCAGAAUCAUCAAUUAUUGUUCAUCUUGCAGAUAUCAGCCAUCCAUUAGCUCAACAACAGAUAGGUGCUGUUGACAAAGUACUGAAAGAGCUGGAUAUAGACUCGGUUCCGAAGUUGGUUGUGUGGAAUAAGGAAUCUAAAAACAAGGUCGUGUGUUGUGACUCAUCAGAUUCCACACUCUCCUGCGACUCCCGAAUAGGGUCCUGUUUUUCCCCCUGGGGAAUGCAGGGAGAUUUCCCUCCAAGCCCAGUGGAAAAACUACCCAGAUUGACAAUACCGAUAACCCAUUGAGAGUGAAGGAGGAAGCCGAGAAACAAGGGAUAAUCUGCAUAUCCGCCAUGAAUGGUGAUGGUUUGGAAGAGUUCUGCAAUGCAAUCCAAGCAAAGUUGAAAGACUCACUGGUGCCCAUAGAAGCUUUUGUUCCGUAUGACAAAGGAGAUCUGUUAAAUGACAUACAUAAGGUUGGAAUGGUUGAGAAAACGGAGUACAUGGAAAAUGGCACGUUGAUAAAAGCACAUGUGCCUCUACCUCUUGCAAGGCUUCUCACGCCGUUGCGGCAGCAGGUGGCUGCUCCUCUAUGAUCAUCCCUUUUCCAGCUCGAGUCCAUCAUCGGCCGUCAUAUGGUUUUUGUUGGCGGGCGACGUACAAAGUUUAGUAGGAGAGAUUAUCUUGUUUCCCACUUGACCUUUGUAGGGCAGCAAGUACACAGUUUUCGCAACAAUAACAAGUACACAGUUUUUUUUCCUCAAA